Molecule: ribosomal RNA, 464 nt
Filed under: Vreelandella stevensii
Lineage: Bacteria; Pseudomonadati; Pseudomonadota; Gammaproteobacteria; Oceanospirillales; Halomonadaceae
Description: partial 16S ribosomal RNA
Rfam family: Bacterial small subunit ribosomal RNA
Source: RNAcentral
CCUACGGGGGGCUGCAGUGGGGAAUAUUGGACAAUGGGGGGAACCCUGAUCCAGCCAUGCCGCGUGUGUGAAGAAGGCCCUCGGGUUGUAAAGCACUUUCAGUGAGGAAGAACGCCUGGUGGUUAAUACCCAUCAGGAAAGACAUCACUCACAGAAGAAGCACCGGCUAACUCCGUGCCAGCAGCCGCGGUAAUACGGAGGGUGCGAGCGUUAAUCGGAAUUACUGGGCGUAAAGCGCGCGUAGGUGGCUUGAUAAGCCGGUUGUGAAAGCCCCGGGCUCAACCUGGGAACGGCAUCCGGAACUGUCAAGCUAGAGUGCAGGAGAGGAAGGUAGAAUUCCCGGUGUAGCGGUGAAAUGCGUAGAGAUCGGGAGGAAUACCAGUGGCGAAGGCGGCCUUCUGGACUGACACUGACACUGAGGUGCGAAAGCGUGGGUAGCAAACAGGAUUAGAUACCCUGGUGUC